GCCAGGCGUGGUGGUGCACACCUGUAAUCCCAGUGACUCAGGAGGCUGAGGCAGGAGGAUCGUGUGUUCAAAGCCAGCUUCAGAAACUUAGCGAGACACUUAGCAACUCAGCAAGACCCUGUCUUUA
Molecule: small RNA, 127 nt
Filed under: Marmota monax (woodchuck)
Lineage: Eukaryota; Metazoa; Chordata; Mammalia; Rodentia; Sciuridae
Source: RNAcentral